RNAcentral lists this ribosomal RNA (286 nucleotides) under Chloroflexota bacterium. RNAcentral's name for it is "Chloroflexi bacterium partial 23S ribosomal RNA". It matches the Rfam family "Bacterial large subunit ribosomal RNA", at positions 1 to 280 of the family's 2925-position model. The record is from RNAcentral. Lineage: Bacteria; Bacillati; Chloroflexota.
AAAUUCGUGGUCAAGCUACUAAGGGCGAACGGUGGAUGCCUUGGCGCCAGGAAGCGAUGAAGGGCGUGGCUAGCUGCGAUAAGCCUCGGGGAGCCGCAAGCAGGCUUCGAUCCGAGGAUGCCCGAAUGGGGGAACCCGGCUGGGGUAAUGCCCAGUCGUCCGUCACUGAAUCCAUAGGUGGCGCGACGCGAACCGAGGGAACUGAAACAUCUCAGUACCUCGAGGGAAAAGAAAAAACGAUUGCCCUAGUAGCGGCGAGCGAACGGGCAAUAGCCUAAACCAGAUC